GUCUCAGGCCGUAUCAGCCUGAAGGCGCCCGAUCUCGUCUGAUCUCGGAAGCUAAGCAGGGUCGGGCCUGGUUAGUAUCUUGGAUGGGAGACCACCUGGGAAUCCCGGGUGCUCGAGGCU
Molecule: ribosomal RNA, 120 nt
Organism: Bison bison bison
Lineage: Eukaryota; Metazoa; Chordata; Mammalia; Artiodactyla; Bovidae
Source: Ensembl